AAGCCUAACACAUGCAGUCGAACGGUACAGGAAGCAGCUUGCUGCUUUGCUGACGAGUGGCGGACGGGUGAGUAAUGUCUGGGAAACUGCCUGAUGGAGGGGGAUACUACUGGAAACGGUAGCUAAUACCGCAUAGCGUCGCAAGACCAAAGAGGGGGACCUUCGGGCCUCUUGCCAUCGGAUGUGCCCAGAUGGAUUAGCUAGUAAGUGGGGUAACGGCUCACCUAGCGACGAUCCCUAGCUGGUCUGAAGGAUG
RNAcentral lists this ribosomal RNA (256 nucleotides) under uncultured bacterium. RNAcentral's name for it is "partial 16S ribosomal RNA". It matches the Rfam family "Bacterial small subunit ribosomal RNA", at positions 46 to 302 of the family's 1533-position model. The record is from RNAcentral.